This 507-nucleotide ribosomal RNA is filed under the name Triticum aestivum (bread wheat). RNAcentral's name for it is "partial small subunit ribosomal RNA". The record is from RNAcentral. Lineage: Eukaryota; Viridiplantae; Streptophyta; Magnoliopsida; Poales; Poaceae.
AUGGUGCCCGGGGCGAGGAUUCCGGUGGCGUCCGUGCUGCGUGGGCUCGUGGCGGUCGCCGGCGCGGCCGUCCUGUAUUUCUCCGGCGCCGCCGAGGCCCGCGUCCUCCUCACCCUCGACGACUUCGGCGCCGUCGGCGACGGCAUUGCCAACGACACGCAGGCGUUCGUGGACGCGUGGACGGCGGCGUGCGGCUCCGAGGAGCAGGCCGUGCUCGCCGUGCCCGUCGCCAAGGCCUACCGGAUCUGCCGGUGCAGCUCUCCGGCCCCUGCAAGAAGAAGCUCAAGCUGCUGGUACAUUGCCGGGACGAUCGUGGCGCCGGCGAGCACGGACGAGUGGGCGGGGAGGGACCCGAUGAAGUGGCUGUACAUCUACGGCGUGGACGGCCUGUCCGUGAGCGGCGGCGGCACCAUCGACGGCGUCGGGCAGGAAUGGUGGGCGCGCUCCUGCAAGCGCAAGAAGACCCAGCAAACUAUUGGCAAGGAAAUAAAAGGCAAAAGAGAUUAA